This 256-nucleotide ribosomal RNA is filed under the name uncultured bacterium. RNAcentral describes it as "partial 16S ribosomal RNA". It matches the Rfam family "Bacterial small subunit ribosomal RNA", at positions 524 to 776 of the family's 1533-position model. The record is from RNAcentral.
UACGUAGGGUGCAAGCGUUAUCCGGAAUUAUUGGGCGUAAAGAGCUCGUAGGCGGUUUGUCGCGUCUGCUGUGAAAACUGGGGGCUCAACCCCCCAGCCUGCAGUGGGUACGGGGCAGACUAGAGUGCGGUAGGGGGAGAUUGGAAUUCCUGGUGUAGCGGUGGAAUGCGCAGAUAUCAGGAGGAACACCAGUAGCGAAGGCGACACUCUGGGCCGGAACUGACGCUGAGGAGCGAAAGCGUGGGGAGCAAACAGG